Molecule: long non-coding RNA, 1373 nt
Filed under: Strigops habroptila (Kakapo)
Lineage: Eukaryota; Metazoa; Chordata; Aves; Psittaciformes; Psittacidae
Description: lncRNA (ENSSHBG00005017300.1)
Source: RNAcentral
AUGAAACUGCUCUAUUCUUUGUGAUUAUUAAGACAACUUUUGAAGAUCACUUUAUCUUCCGUUUAUGCAAAAUGAUCCUGGCUCACAAACAAGAUCUACUCUAUUGCCCUUCUAAAACCUUGUUAGAUACGUUACAGAGGGAGACCUCCAUCUGUAGGAGCAGUCUCUCUUGCAUGUUAUUCCCGAUACCCCUUUAUCAAGCAGAACAAUUGAAAUGUCUUUUGCAACCAUCAUUUAAUGAACAUAAUAUAAAAAUAACUUCAGCAAAUGCAUAUUAAUGUAUUGCAAACUUUUUAUCUGAAAAAAAUGAUGUUAAAAGUUAAAUCCAAAUAGAAUUAUUACGAUGAGAUUUAUCAUAUCAGCUUUGCUUAUACUCCAAAAAUCAAUAGCCCUGACCCCAGAAGAAAAUAUUACUGUCAGUAAUCUUUACUGGUUGUAUAAUGGUCAAGAUGUUAAUAAUAUAAAAACAGAAAAAACACACCUCACCUCAGCAUAAUUAUAUUACACAGAUCCCUAGGUCCUUUCCAAGAAACAGAAAAAGGUGACCUACCAAAGCAGCAAAUAAGAAAAAGGCAGUGUGACUUUACACAGUUCACCAUUUCUGCAGUGCCCCUGUGCCUUCCCUCAGAGGCACCAGCAUAGCAUCAGUGCAGGAAAGCACAAAAGUUGAUUCUGUGGAUGGAGUAUAAUUAGUAGCAUAAACUCCUGGACUCCAUCAAUCUGCGCAUCAUAUAUGAGAAGUGGAAAAAAAUUAAAACAAAAGAAACAAAAACUAACAGAUAAGCUUGUUUCAGAAUAUGAAGACAAGGGUGAUGUCACUUACAACACACACAGAUGCACACUUGCAUGACCGGAUUUCUAGGAUGUCUCCAAAAUAUAAUUAAUCUAAUUAUGCCAAUAGUUAAGCACAAGUGUUGACUAAGGGAGCUCUCUCUGUUAGCUUCAGAUAUAACUAGCAUAACAAGAAAAAAUCCAUGCCUUCGGGAAAGGCAAGGAGGAAAGGCAAAGUUCUAGAUAGAACAUCGGAAUACAGACAUGUGCAAUUCAUAAUCCCAAACACAGUUAAAUGUGCAAUUUUAUAUGUUCUUGCCUUUCUGAAAUACCUGUAUGGUACAGAAGAACAGUAGCCUUGGGCUGAGCAGAUAAGAUACUCAAGGCACCUAAAAAGGCAUGAGCCACCUACAGUUAGGCAACUAAAUCUCAUCCCCAGUUAUUAAAAAAGUGUCAUCUGACUUGACACUGCACCAGAGACCUGAAUAACAGGCGUCCUUUCAUUGCUGAGGAUUUCUUCCAUUCCCGUUACUUACUCAUUUUCUACCCUCACUUUGCUUCCGUUUCCUUCCUCCUAAAGCACCUUCUAACAAUCUCUUUUU